AUCACGUAAGCGGUAAGCCUCCAGAAAAGAAUUUGUAAAACCCUAACAAGUACCACAUACAGAGUCUGAGAGAGAUGACGCAGAAAGGGAACCUAUUUAAAGGCAAACAAAAUAAGAAAGUAACACCUCCCAACCGCCAUAGAAAAGCCGUUCAUAUUCGCAAAGGGAAAAGGGUUGUGAAGCCUUGAAAGAUUACAAAAGACAUGGAUACUGAUAGGGAACUGACCAAAUUCAUAAAUCACUGCAACGAAGUGAAGGCAGCUACCCUUGCGAACAAGGAAGGUGGCCAACUAAGUAUUGUCAAAACGUCAGCUGGGUCUACUGCUAACAAGAAGGAUGAAAAACCCGACUCCAAUUAGUGGGUUGUUGAAAAACUCUUUGGGAAGAAAAAUUAGCGGGUUAGGUAAGGGGAAUGAAUGGAGAUUGUGAAUGAUUUUGAUAGGAAAAAGGCGGACUAUGAAAUGAACAAGAGAAGAGAAGUUAAAUUUGGAGAGAGAGAUAGAAGGCGAAGAAAAAGUGUUUUAGGCUUUAACUCGCACGUUGAGAAAGAGAAGGAGAAAGAAUGCCAAUUUGGGUUUACAAAACGGGUAGAGUCGGGUACGGGUCAAAACGGGUCUAAUUAUAUAGAUCUAUACUCUAUAUUAUUUACUCUGGUACAAGUUGACUCAAGGGUCCUAACCCGUUUUGUCAGGUCUAAUCAUCGGAAUAGAUUUAUCUAAAACACUAAUAAAAAUGUCAUAAAUAGACUACUUUGUAUAUUUAUUCAAAAAUGUUAUGCAGCAAGAUAAACA
Pistacia vera is the source of this 791-nucleotide long non-coding RNA. RefSeq lists it as uncharacterized. The transcript has 3 exons. NCBI's taxonomy places the organism in Eukaryota, Viridiplantae, Streptophyta, Magnoliopsida, Sapindales, Anacardiaceae. The record is from RefSeq and is a predicted model, not a curated record.